This is a long non-coding RNA of Etheostoma cragini (Arkansas darter), 148 nucleotides long. RefSeq lists it as uncharacterized. NCBI's taxonomy places the organism in Eukaryota, Metazoa, Chordata, Actinopteri, Perciformes, Percidae. The record is from RefSeq and is a predicted model, not a curated record. The transcript is spliced from 3 exons.
AAAGUUGAACCUAUCCACUAGCGUUGCUCUGAUUGGUUGUAGCACGAGCCUAUUGCGUGCAGAGUGAAACUGAAAGACAACCGUUUAUCCCGCCCCUCGGAUUGAGCCCUGCCAAUGGUGAGGUCCCAGACACUCAAGAUCUGGAAGA